This is a non-coding RNA of Meleagris gallopavo (turkey), 2195 nucleotides long. The record is from RefSeq and is a predicted model, not a curated record. NCBI's taxonomy places the organism in Eukaryota, Metazoa, Chordata, Aves, Galliformes, Phasianidae.
UAUAAUGAAAAAUCCCCUACUCAGAUGCACAUUUCUUCACUUACUUGCUGACUGGCAAAAUCCAGUACCUUGUGAUAGUUGUUCAGCUGAGGAAAUCACUGCCCAGCUUAAGACUGACCAAAUGUGGACAGAAGCAGUCCUGCCAAGUGAGUCUGUCCUCCAAGUCCAAGCAUUGUGAUGAUUUCUGACAACUCAGCAGCUUUACAGCAUUUUCUUCUGCAUGAACAAUAGAGUAAUACUGGAAGCUGAACUUACUUGACUGCUAUCUCUGCAAAUCAAAAUAUGACUUCUUCCUUCCUGUAUGUGGGCUGAGUAACUUCAGCUGCUCUUGGGUGAACAGCAAAGACCAAGGCUCUUUUUUUCACACUGAUUACGUGUGCUGUAUGCUACGGGUGCAUGAAAUGGCGAUAAAGGGAGGAGGAAUCACCAAACUAAGACAUUACAAGGUGAGCGCAACAGAAUUAAGGAUUACAGAUUAAAGCCACGUUACUGCUUCCAAACAAGAGAGUAAUCAGAGAGUGAGCUCAUUACCUCUCCAAGACACCAUAUUUCAGCCAUUACUACAUUCUUUUGAUACCCUCUAUAAGUAACCUUCAAAAGAGGUGCUUAGCAAGAUGUCCAACAGCAGCUUAACCCAGCAGAAUCAGUCUACAAUCAGGACAAUGCUGGACACCUCAGACAGGCUUCGCUCUAUUCUCAUAAUCCUGUACAGCAUUGACCUAGCUGGGGGUACACUUGGUGUCCUUGUGAUGUCUCGCCAGUUGUUUCGAAGGAGAUCCCAAUCUGCCAUGAUUAUCAUCAUAAUCAACCUCCUAGUGCUGCAUACCCUUCUGUUACUCAGCAUCCCCUUCCGCCUCAGCUAUUACGUUUCACAGGAAUGGAAAUUUGGGACAUUCACUUGCAAGCUAGUAAGUGCCACCAUCUACCUCCACAUGUACACCACCUUCACCUUUUAUGUUGCUAUCAUCAUAAUGCGUCUCUUUCAACUUGAGUUCAACAAGUGCUACACUACGAUUUGGGUGACAGCUGUCUGGAUGCUAGGAGCUCUGGUGAUUGCUCCUGUUUUUCUCUCUUACUAUGGCACCUCUAGAACAUAUCCUUCCUCUCAAUGUUUUCAGUUCCAGAAGGAGAUGGAAGAGAUGCCGAUGGUGGUAGUAAACUACUGCUUGAUUGGAGUUCUGCUUGCAGUUUGUGGUUUGCUCACUAUAAUCCAAUUAUCUGUGAUGUGCAGACUGACUGUGAAAUACUGGCCUGAAAUCAACUCCCAUGUGGAAUUCAGGGCUCAGGCAAAGAGUUUCUUCUUCACCUUGGUAACAAUAGUGUGUUUUACACCUCAUCAUGUAUUCAGAGUAUAUUAUAUUCAAAACUUCCACCUAGAUAAAGACCAUAAACUUCUCACAUACAAUGAAAUUUUUUUAGCUUUAACAACAAUGUGCUGCUUGGAUAUGUUGUGCUUCAUAGCAGGCAUAGCCCACUGAACUAUCAGGAAAUCCAACUAACAGUGUGGCAGUACUGGCUCUUGGCAGAAAAAACUGUGUCAGGACUUUACUGGGCCAGGGGGACUGCUGAGUUUUAAGCAUAGCUAUAUAGGAUUGUAGUAGUUUCCAGCUUUUACAGGCUAGAAAGAUACAUCUUUCAGAAGCUACUGUUUUUCACCUUCUUCCUUGAAGGCAGACAGAUUAACCUUACUCUGGACUUUGACCUAAAUGUCAUGCUGUGAAUCUUCAUUAAGAUUUUCCUCAGCUGUCUCUCUCUAACCAUUGCAGUAGAACUAUCCAUCAUCUUUUUUCCCCUCAGAGCAUCUCAAUAACGAAACAUUGUGCCUGAUAAAAUUAUCCACUGUGAAAAUCUAACAACGUCUUUUGACAGCUUUGAUGCCAAAGGAAAGAGGAAAGAAAGACAUUUCUUUACAGUAUUUUUCCACAAAGGAUUUUAGAUCACAAGGACGCAAACUAUACUAAAAAUCAUAUUCAAGGCAUGAAACAGGGCAUGAAUUAAAAGUUUUAGCUGAGUAUUUUAGAAGAAGCUUUUUUUCUUCACCUCUACAAAGUGUAUAUUAAACCAAGAUUAAGAUUAACAACUUCAUUUUUACUUGCUCCAUUUAAAAAAAUACAAGCAGCCCCCUGAAUUGCAGUUCUUACUCCUCUAGAAUUAGCAAGAGUUGAACAGGUCACAGGUUUAAAAAAAAAAAAAAA